AGUGAAUAGAUACCCGAGGUAGUCCACGCCCUAAACGAUGUCAACUGGUUGUUGGGUCUUCACUGACUCAGUAAACGAAAGCUAAACGCGUGAAGUUGACCGCCUGGGGAGUACGGCCGCAAGGUUAAAACUCAAAGGAAUUGACGGGGACCCGCACAAGCGGUGGAUGAUGUGGUUUAAUUCGAUGCAACGCGAAAAACCUUACCCACCUUUGACAUGUACGGAAUCCUGCAGAGACGCAGGAGUGCUCGAAAGAGAGCCGUGACACAGGUGCUGCAUGGCUGUCGCCAGCUCGUGUCGUGAGAUGUUGGGUUAAGUCCCGCAACGAGCGCAACCCUUGCCAUUAGUUGCUA
RNAcentral lists this ribosomal RNA (353 nucleotides) under uncultured bacterium. RNAcentral's name for it is "bacterial SSU rRNA". It matches the Rfam family "Bacterial small subunit ribosomal RNA", at positions 771 to 1120 of the family's 1533-position model. The record is from RNAcentral.